This 230-nucleotide ribosomal RNA is filed under the name Devosia sp. ISO907_OTU1577. RNAcentral's name for it is "partial 16S ribosomal RNA". It matches the Rfam family "Bacterial small subunit ribosomal RNA", at positions 29 to 289 of the family's 1533-position model. The record is from RNAcentral. Lineage: Bacteria; Pseudomonadati; Pseudomonadota; Alphaproteobacteria; Hyphomicrobiales; Devosiaceae.
ACGAACGCUGGCGGCAGGCUUAACACAUGCAAGUCGAGCGCCUCGCAAGAGGAGCGGCAGACGGGUGAGUAACGCGUGGGAAUCUACCUAGUUCUACGGAACAACUGAUGGAAACGUCAGCUAAUACCGUAUACGCCCUAAGGGGGAAAGAUUUAUCGGAAUUAGAUGAGCCCGCGUAAGAUUAGCUAGUUGGUGGGGUAAUGGCCUACCAAGGCGACGAUCUUUAGCUG